UCUGGUGGCAGUAGCGCGGUGGUUCCACCGGACCCCAUGCCGAACUCAGAAGUGAAACGCCGUAGCUCCGAUGGUAGUGA
This 80-nucleotide ribosomal RNA is filed under the name Escherichia coli. Lineage: Bacteria; Pseudomonadati; Pseudomonadota; Gammaproteobacteria; Enterobacterales; Enterobacteriaceae. The record is from RNAcentral.